Molecule: microRNA precursor, 137 nt
Filed under: Pelobates cultripes (western spadefoot toad)
Lineage: Eukaryota; Metazoa; Chordata; Amphibia; Anura; Pelobatidae
Source: RNAcentral
CUAUAAGUCAUUGUGCCACGAUAGUAUUUGCGCGUGUGUAUGUACAUAUGUGUGUGUCUGUGUAUAAUAUAUAUAUACACACACACACAUAUAUACACACACACACACAAACACAAACGUGGCACAAUGACUUAUAG